Long non-coding RNA from Galleria mellonella (greater wax moth), 457 nucleotides. RefSeq lists it as uncharacterized. The record is from RefSeq and is a predicted model, not a curated record. Lineage: Eukaryota; Metazoa; Arthropoda; Insecta; Lepidoptera; Pyralidae. The transcript is spliced from 2 exons.
AUUAAUUAAUUAUUUAAUUUAAUCAUAAUUUAAGGGACAUUAUGUAAUUAAUCAUAUUUGCACGCCUUUUGAUGGUGAAAUAUAGUAUACUACAUAUUCUACAUCAAACUUAUAACUGUGCCUGUGAUUAUGUAAAUAAAUGAUUGAUUGAUUAUUUUCAAGUGCUUGUACGGUAGUGAUGUCAGAUAGGAAUCGAAUGUCAAAAUUAUUGAUUCCUAACUUAUUACUCCCUUAAUAAUACACAUUGGUAUUUGAAUAUCGAACUGUGUCCGCCAAACGGAUGGAUAAACAACGACAAAGAAUUUACACACACAAUGAUACAAUGCGAAGGUGCAGUUUUAAUAUGGACAAAUAAUUGGUGUGUUAGUUUUGAUACAUCAAUGAACUGUUAACAAUGUGAUUGAUUCAGUCACCAAGUAAAGAAUAUUUUUAUGUCUUUAGAAUUUCUAUUCGGUAU